This is a long non-coding RNA of Mauremys mutica (yellowpond turtle), 398 nucleotides long. RefSeq lists it as uncharacterized. The record is from RefSeq and is a predicted model, not a curated record. The transcript is spliced from 3 exons. Lineage: Eukaryota; Metazoa; Chordata; Testudines; Geoemydidae.
UGAUGGCCCGUUUGCACCACUGGAGUAGUGCAAAGCGUCCCAAUUGGCACCGAGGUUCAGCCACAUACAGUAUUGUGCAUGGCAUUUUACAGAGUCAUUCAUAGUUUCUGGACCUGAUUCUUCUACACCUGAACAGUGCAAAAUGGGCUCGAUCAUCAGUUGUGCUUGGAGUCUGUUUGGCACUGUUGAGAAGAGGGGCAGUUUUCAAACGGAGACACCAAAGGUAAAGGAUGAGAGAUCUAAAGUCUGGCUCAGUUGGAACAUAAACAAGUAAAUAUAAUAUAUACUACAUAGGAAGCAGCAAUGCAAGCUUCUUCACACCACUUUACCAAUGUGUCUCAGUCUUGGCCAGGCAGGAUUAAUCAUGUAUGUGCAGUGUUGUAUUAAUUUAAAUGGAA